AAUAUUGGACAAUGGGCGCAAGCCUGAUCCAGCCAUGCCGCGUGAGUGAUGAAGGCCCAAGGGAANUCAAGCUCUUUCACCGGAGANGAUCAUGAUGGUAUCCGGAGAAGAAGCCCCGGUCAACUUCGUGCUAGUAGCCGCGGUAAUACGAAGGGGGCAAGCGUUGUUCGGAUUUACUGGGCGUAAAGCGCACGUAGGCGGAUUGGGCAGUUUGGGGUGAAAUCCCGGAGCUCAAAUCCGAAACAGACUUUAAUAAUGCAAAUCUAGAGACCGAGAGAGGUGAGUGGAACUCCUAGAGUAGAGGUGGAAUUCGUAGAUAUUAGGAAGAACACCAGUGGCGAAGGCGGCUCACUGGCUCGGAACUGACGCUGAGGUGCGAAAGCGUGGGGAGCAAACA
This 397-nucleotide ribosomal RNA is filed under the name uncultured bacterium. Its description in RNAcentral is "partial 16S ribosomal RNA". It matches the Rfam family "Bacterial small subunit ribosomal RNA", at positions 360 to 774 of the family's 1533-position model. The record is from RNAcentral.